CAUUAUUGAAAUAAACACGAUAGAUUGCUGCUGGUUCUUUAGUGAAUAUGUGCACAUCUGUUGUCUUUAUAUUUCCACUUGUGCAUCUUUUGUAGACUUGGAUAAGCCUUCUUAAUCCUAGGAUUAAGGUUUUGGGGAUUGACUUACUGUAGUCUAUCCUUGCAUUUCUCGGUCUAUGUUUAUUCAUAUACUCUAAUGUAUGGAAUGUAAUCAAUUGGGCUUUUAUGCCCUAUAACGAUAUAUACAACUUUCAGCAACGGAUCUCUUGGCUCUCGCAUCGAUGAAGAACGCAGCGAAAUGCGAUAAGUAAUGUGAAUUGCAGAAUUCAGUGAAUCAUCGAAUUUUUGAACGCACCUUGCACUCCUUGGUAUUCCGAGGAGUAUGCCUGUUUGAGUGUCAUUAAUAUAUCUCAACCUUAUUAGCUUUUUUGCUUGUUAAGUGUUGGAUGGUGGGGGCUUUAUUGCUGGUCUUUUAAGAGGUCAGCUCCCCUAAAAUGUAUUAGCAGAACCAUUUGUUAACCCGUUCAUUGGUGUGAUAAUUAUCUACGCUAUUGAUGGGUAAAGACUAGUUCAGCUUCUAAUAGUCUUAUUGACUCUUUGAUUAAUGUGACCUCAAAUCAGGUAGGACUACCCGCUGAACUUAAGCAUAUCAAUAAGCGGAGGAAAAGAAACUAACAAGGAUUCCCCUAGUAACUGCGAGUGAAGCGGGAAAAGCUCAAAUUUAAAAUCUGUUAGUCUUUGGCUAACCGAGUUGUAAUCUAGAGAAGUGUUAUCUGCACUGG
This 781-nucleotide ribosomal RNA is filed under the name uncultured Cortinarius. RNAcentral describes it as "eukaryotic LSU rRNA". The stretch from base 246 to 399 matches the Rfam family "5.8S ribosomal RNA". The record is from RNAcentral. Lineage: Eukaryota; Fungi; Basidiomycota; Agaricomycetes; Agaricales; Cortinariaceae.